GAUGAACGCUAGCGAUAGGCUUAACACAUGCAAGUCGAGGGGCAGCAUGGUCUUAGCUUGCUAAGACUGAUGGCGACCGGCGCACGGGUGCGUAACGCGUAUGCAACUUGCCUCACAGAGGGGGAUAACCCGUCGAAAGACGGACUAAUACCGCGUACACUCUAUGUUGGGCAUCCAAUGUAGAGGAAAUGAAAUUCGCUGUGAGAUAGGCAUGCGUCCUAUUAGCUUGUUGGUGGGGUAACGGCCCACCAAGGCGAUGAUAGGUAGCCGGCCUGAGAGGGUGGACGGUCACAAGGGGACUGAGAUACGGCCCUUACUCCUACGGGAGGCAGCAGUGGGGAAUAUUGGACAAUGGGGGCAACCCUGAUCCAGCAAUUCUGUGUGCACGAUGAAGGUUUUCGGAUUGUAAAGUGCUUUCAGCAGGGAAGAAAAAAAUGACGGUACCUGCAGAAGAAGCGACGGCUAAAUACGUGCCAGCAGCCGCGGUAAUACGUAUGUCGCAAGCGUUAUCCGGAAUUAUUGGGCAUAAAGGGCAUCUAGGCGGCCAGAUAAGUCUGGGGUGAAAACUUGCGGCUCAACCGUAAGCCUGCCCUGGAAACUAUGCGGCUAGAGUACUGGAGAGGUGGACGGAACUGCACGAGUAGAGGUGAAAUUCGUAGAUAUGUGCAGGAAUGCCGAUGAUGAAGAUAGUUCACUGGACGGUAACUGACGCUGAAGUGCGAAAGCUAGGGGAGCAAACAGG
Molecule: ribosomal RNA, 742 nt
Filed under: uncultured Streptococcus sp.
Lineage: Bacteria; Bacillati; Bacillota; Bacilli; Lactobacillales; Streptococcaceae
Description: bacterial SSU rRNA
Rfam family: Bacterial small subunit ribosomal RNA
Source: RNAcentral